This 433-nucleotide ribosomal RNA is filed under the name uncultured beta proteobacterium. RNAcentral describes it as "bacterial SSU rRNA". It matches the Rfam family "Bacterial small subunit ribosomal RNA", at positions 355 to 775 of the family's 1533-position model. Lineage: Bacteria; Pseudomonadati; Pseudomonadota; Betaproteobacteria. The record is from RNAcentral.
UAGGGAAUUUUGCACAAUGGGCGCAAGCCUGAUGCAGCAAUGCCGCGUGAGUGAAGAAGGCUCUUGGGUUGUAAAGCUCUUUCGGCCGGGAAGAAGGGACUAUCUGCGAACAGUUGGUAGUUUUGACGGUACCGGAAGAAGAAGCACCGGCUAACUACGUGCCAGCAGCCGCGGCAAUACGUAGGGUGCGAGCGUUAAUCGGAAUUACUGGGCGUAAAGUGUGCGCAGGUGGCCGCGCAAGUCGAGUGUGAAAUCCCCGAGCUUAACUUGGGAAUUGCGCUCGAAACUACGUGGCUCGAGUAUGGCAGAGGAAGGUGGAAUUCCACGUGUAGCGGUGAAAUGCGUAGAGAUGUGGAGGAACACCGAUGGCGAAGGCAGCCUUUCUUGGGCCAAUUACUGACGCUCAUGCACGAAAAGCGUGGGGAGCAAAACA